Molecule: long non-coding RNA, 133 nt
Organism: Brienomyrus brachyistius
Lineage: Eukaryota; Metazoa; Chordata; Actinopteri; Osteoglossiformes; Mormyridae
Exons: 2
Source: RefSeq, a predicted model, not a curated record
UGGGAGGAGAGAAAGCAGAACAAAAGGAGCGGAAGGCAGGGUAACGUGGAGCAGCCGGUGUCUGGGGGUCACAGGUGAGGUGGGAGGAGAGAAAACAGAACAAAAGGAGCGGAAGGCAGGGUAACGUGGAGCA